CCAGACUCCUACGGGAGGCAGCAGUGGGGGAUAUUGGACAAUGGGGGGAACCCUGAUCCAGCGACGCCGCGUGAGUGAAGAAGUAUCUCGGUAUGUAAAGCUCUAUCAGCAGGGAAGAAAGAAAUGACGGUACCUGAGUAAGAAGCCCCGGCUAACUACGUGCCAGCAGCCGCGGUAAUACGUAGGGGGCAAGCGUUAUCCGGAAUUACUGGGUGUAAAGGGAGCGUAGACGGUGAAGUAAGUCUGGGGUGAAAGGCGGGGGCCCAACCCCCGGACUGCUCUGGAAACUAUUUGACUGGAGUGAAGGAGAGGUAAGCGGAAUUCCUAGUGUAGCGGUGAAAUGCGUAGAUAUUAGGAGGAACACCAGUGGCGAAGGCGGCUUACUGGACUGUACCUGACGCUGAGGCGCGAAAGCGUGGGUAGCGAACGGGAUUAGAUACCCCAGUAGCA
This 450-nucleotide ribosomal RNA is filed under the name uncultured bacterium. Its description in RNAcentral is "bacterial SSU rRNA". It matches the Rfam family "Bacterial small subunit ribosomal RNA", at positions 331 to 795 of the family's 1533-position model. The record is from RNAcentral.